Erpetoichthys calabaricus (reedfish) is the source of this 282-nucleotide long non-coding RNA. RefSeq lists it as uncharacterized. The record is from RefSeq and is a predicted model, not a curated record. The transcript has 3 exons. NCBI's taxonomy places the organism in Eukaryota, Metazoa, Chordata, Cladistia, Polypteriformes, Polypteridae.
AAUAGCAUGCUAUUUUUUAUUCAUAGAAUUUAUUGCAAUUUCUUGAUUUACAUUUUUUAGGAAGACAUUCCAUAAAUUAGAGGAUGGCAGUGUCUUCUCUUACUUCAGAAAGCCAGCAUUAAAGCCAAGACAGCCGUCUUCAGUUUCCACAUGGGAAGGAGGACAUUCUGUGUACCACAGGCACUCACUUCAGUACAAUUCCUGUAGACGUACAGAUUGAAUUGAAAUGGGUCUUACAGCAAUGUAUUAGUAAAUAAAAAUAAAUGCUUUUUUCACUUCAAA